UAAUACGGAGGGUGCAAGCGUUAAUCGGAAUUACUGGGCGUAAAGAGUACGUAGGCGGCUUUUCAAGUCGGGUGUGAAAUCCCUGAGCUUAACUCAGGAACUGCAUUCGAUACUGGAUCGCUAGAGUAUAUUAGAGGAUAGUGGAAUUUCAAGUGUAGCGGUGAAAUGCGUAGAUAUUUGAAGGAACACCAAUGGCGAAGGCAGCUAUCUGGAAUAAUACUGACGCUGAGGUACGAAAGCGUGGGGAGCAAACAGGAUUAGAUACCCUGGUAGUCCACGCCGUAAACGAUGAGAACUAGACGUUAGAUAUUUAUAUCUAGUGUCGCAGCUAACGCAUUAAGUUCUCCGCCUGGGGAGUACGGCCGCAAGGUUG
This 373-nucleotide ribosomal RNA is filed under the name uncultured Gammaproteobacteria bacterium. RNAcentral's name for it is "bacterial SSU rRNA". It matches the Rfam family "Bacterial small subunit ribosomal RNA", at positions 521 to 896 of the family's 1533-position model. Lineage: Bacteria; Pseudomonadati; Pseudomonadota; Gammaproteobacteria. The record is from RNAcentral.